CCUACGGGAGGCUGCAGUGGGGAAUAUUGGGCAAUGGAGGAAACUCUGACCCAGCAACGCCGCGUGAAUGAUGAAGGUCUUCGGAUUGUAAAGUUCUUUUCUAAGGGAAGCAGAAAGUGACGGUACCUUAGGAAUAAGCUCCGGCUAACUACGUGCCAGCAGCCGCGGUAAUACGUAGGGGGCAGGCGUUAUCCGGAUUCACUGGGUGUAAAGGGAGCGUAGACGGCUAGGCAAGCCUGGAGUGAAAGUCCGGGGCCCAACCCCGGGACUGCUGUGGGAACUGGCCGGCUGGAGUGCGGGGGAGGCAGGCGGAAUGCCUGGUGUAGCGGUGAAAUGCGUAGAUAGCAGGAGGAACACCGGCGGCGAAGGCGGCCUGUUGGACCGCGACUGACGUUGAGGCUCGAAAGCGUGGGUAGCGAACAGGAUUAGAUACCCGGGUAGUC
RNAcentral lists this ribosomal RNA (443 nucleotides) under uncultured bacterium. RNAcentral describes it as "partial 16S ribosomal RNA". It matches the Rfam family "Bacterial small subunit ribosomal RNA", at positions 338 to 795 of the family's 1533-position model. The record is from RNAcentral.